Sparus aurata (gilthead seabream) is the source of this 4233-nucleotide long non-coding RNA. NCBI's taxonomy places the organism in Eukaryota, Metazoa, Chordata, Actinopteri, Spariformes, Sparidae. The record is from Ensembl.
AUGCGGGUUAUGGACGAGGGGAGUGACUGCAGCAGCCCGGGGAGUUUUCCCAGGAUUACCGGGACUGUGGCUCUGGGGAAACAGCAGGUGGUGGCGUUGAAAAAACGGCCAGAGCCCGCGGCCGGAGCACCAGCGGAGCUGGAAGCCGCGGGGCAGUCCCCAGCCGCAGGAGUGGAUACAGCCGCCCCAGACGUGGAGCCGCCCGACGGCGAGGGGGCGACGGCCCCGCCAGGUGUGGAGGUACCAGAGCCAGGAGCCACACGAUCACCAGCGGCCGUGUGCAGAGAGCUGGCGGCGGCGCCUCCAGGCACCGAGCGAAGAACUGGGCUGUCGGCCAGGGCCUCGAAGCGGUUGGAAAGGCUCAGGCGAGGAGGAGAGGCAGUCGCAUCCUGGACUCUCUUUCUGUCACGGAUAACAACUUCAGACCAGGAUGACUGGAGGCUGGGUGUUGAGGAGGUGACAGGCCGUGGGCAGGUGGAGGUAUCCCAUGGAGCAGUAUCCUGGAGGGCCGCUUUGAGUUGGAUUAUGUGCAUGGAUUGUUCGUGGGCGAUGUCCAGACAGGAGGUCAGCAGGGCCUGUUUAUUCUGCAGCUCCUGCGAAAGUCGACGGAUGUCUUCUUUGAGCCACUGGUGGGCGUGGUCACGGAGGAUCCUGCCAAAGCAUCUGCAGCUCAUCAUCCUGCAAUCAACUUGCCUACAUAUACUCAGAACAACCUUCCAGACCCCGCCGGAUUGUUGAAUCAACCACCAGUCCUGAGCCUGGACCCAGUCUGCCUGCCUGCACAGCCGACCUCGAGCCCUGGAGCCUGAAUGCCACCUCCACUCGCUGACGCCAUGAAAACACCUGUCACGCCAAUCUCAACUUGUUUUGUGCAACUCUCAAUAAAUUCUUUUGUGUUCUAAUGUCAACUCUAGUCUGCAAUUGAGUUCUGGUCCCCGGUCCUGGCAGGACCCAAGGUUUCCCAGCAGAACAUUGCCCAAAGCAUUACACUUCCUCCGUCAUCUUGCCUUCUUCCUGUAGUGCAUCCUGGUGCCAUGUGUCUCCCAGGUAAGCGACGCACACGCACCUGGCAAUCCACAUCAUUUUAAAAAAAAACGAAUACAUCAGACCAGGGCACCUUCUUCCAUUGCUCCGUAGUCUAGUUCUGAUGCUCAAGUUGACCACGUGUUGGAGCGGUCAACACGGGUACCAUAUACAACAUACUCUUUUCAAUCUGUAAUAAUCUUAUGUGAAAUGGGACACACUAGGAAGCUUAAAAAACUUAUUAAGAGGGGCCCAGGCACAAAGUAGAUACACGUAAUAACAAAAAUAAAAAUAACAGAAUACAUUUUCACAGCUCAGUGGGUAGAGCUGGUUGACUGGUGAUCAGAAGAUCACUGGUUCAAAUCCCAGCUCCCCAGGGCGGGACUGAGCUACAAGUCGAAGUAUCCUUGAGCAAGAUACUGAACCCCGAAGUUGCUCCUGAUGUGCAGUUGGCACCUUGUGAAGGCAGCCACUGCCAUCAGUAAGGGUCCUGCGAUGAGCUGGCGACUCGUCCAGGGUGAACCCUGGCCUACGCCCAUAGAGUAAGUCUGGAUUUGGCCCCAGUAAGCCCCGCAACCCCUUAGGGGGGAAAAAAAAAAGCGGCAACAUCCCGCGACCCUCAUGGAUAAGCGGAAAGAAAACGGGAACGGAACGGAACAUUUUCACAUAUAUACACUUACAUGUACAUAACACUCUCAACCAUACACACCCAAACAAGAGAUACCCUAACCUAAAGCUAAAUUUAACCUAAGCCCUACUAACAUGGUCCAAGUGGUCACAUCACCAACAGUCCAAGAAGAAUUAUACUACUUUUUUUUAUAUGUAAUGUUCAUUUGAAACUUUCAGCAACAGGUGCCUCUUUUUUUAUUUUUAAAAACAGGUAUAGAUGGGGACAUUUGCAUGUCUCUAUCAAGAUUGUUCCAUACCUGUGGACCUUUGCAAACAAUACUGAGUUUCCGAUUUUUACCCUUAAUAAGAUGCUUCUUCCUAGUCUGAUAGGAAUGCAGAGGAAAGGAAAUUGGAAUCAGGUCACAAAAUCUUUCAUUGAGCUUAUUAACAACACAAAACAUAGUACAAGCAUUAUGAAAAGUAUUAAGUUCAGUAAUUUUCAGGAGGCCAUAGCGAUGAAAAAGCAAGUCGGAAGGAGAAUCAAAUUUAGCCCAAGACAUAGCUCGAAUUAUUUUCUUUUGCAGAAUUGUCACCAUGACUGGUCUGCAGCUAUGCAGCUCCAUACGCAACAAACUGCGAUGCACUGUGUAUUCUGACACCUUACUCUCAGAACCAGCAUUAACUUCUUCAGCAAUUUGAGCAACAGUAGCUUGUCUGUUGGAUCAGACCACAGGGGCUAGCCUUUGCUCCCCACGUGCAUCAAUGAAACUUGAGCCAUGACCCUGUGACCUGUUCAACACUCUUCCAUCUUUGGACCACUUUUGAUAGAUACUGACCACUGCAGACCGGGACCACCCCACAAGAACUGUAGUUUUGGAGAUGAUCUGACCCAGUUGUCUAACCAUCACAAUUGGCCUUUGUUAAACUCGCUCAAAUUCUUACGCUUGCCCAUUUUUCCUGCUUCUAACACAUCAACUUGCUGUUUACUCACUGCCUAAUAUAUCUCACCCACUAACAGGUGCCAUGAUGAAGAGAUAAUCAGUGUUAUUCAUUAGAUUCAUUAGCUACUGUGCAAAACCCUCAAGCUUCUAGGCCACUGGUGGAGGACCCAAGCUUGGAUGAGGGAGGAGGAACACAAGACAGCCCACAGGGGCGAGUGGGCGAUUUCUUUACCUCUGUAUCUUUUGCUGGAUGGCCGCAGGGUGAGCAAAUGUUUACCUACACUUGUAAAGAACAAGUAUAUCAUCAUAGACUUGAGUUCCACUUACUUUUACAAGUCUAACGUGUGCAUCGCAGAAGCGAUUGAAAUGGGCCCAGAAAAGUCAUUUGGAAGAAGUUAAGAGGCCAUACAGCUUUCUAUAAUCACCUAAACUGAUCACUCUGUCUUGGAAUUGAGUCUACCCCUCAUAAUUUUGGUUGUUGUUAUAUUAUAGUACAGUUCCAAAUUCAGUUUUUUACCUUUUAUGAGAUGGAAUUAUUGAAUUGGCUGUCAUUUCCCUUCUUCAAGGGUGGUGCCCCCGAGGUUAUAUGAUGUAUGUCUAUAAUUAUCCUUGAUAAUAAUCAAUUAUUAUUGAUUGCCAAAUUCGACCAGAAUUUCCUAUUAAUGAUGCAUAAUGCCCCAACAAGCUCAUUUAAAAGAACUAGAAAAAAGAACAAAUAUACGUGACCUAGUUCAUUUUUUUGGGACUGUUCUUCAUAUUCAACAUUAUGAACAAUAAAUGUGACAUACUGCUUUCUAACUGUGUGAACUGAACUAGUUCUUCUGAAAUGGGAAUUUAUACAAGACUGGCAACAAGUGUUUAUUUGUGGAAAUACAUUCUAAUGAAGACCAUCAUCUUCCUUCGCCAUAGAUAAAUAGAUAGAGAUAUAUAGACUCUGUGUCUAAUGUCAUUACUGUACACAAGUUGUUUUUGUUGUGCUGUGUAUAGUGAGAAAGGCCUGAUAAAUGUGUAAAAAGCUACUGUAUGUAGAAAUGCUAAUCAAAGACAUUAUUAGCAGAGUACAUAUUUCUGUUCCGCAGACAUCCCUCCCUGACAUGAUGGUCAGAGAACGACAAUUACCACUUGGUGCUGGGCUAGAGAAAAAAAACUCUGAGCCUGGAGUUGGAAAGUGUGUGUGUGGUGAUGUCUCCAAGCCCGGAUGGUAAUUGUCAGGAUUUGGCAGGGCAAUCAGUUCCAUGCCACUGAGCUCCAUGUCUCGACAUGUUCUAUAGCAGCUCUCAGUGUACACACACACACACACACACACAUACACACACACACACACACACACACACACACACACACACACACACACACACAAACUAGAAGACUGACCCCAACACCUGUUCAUUGAUGUGAGACCGAAGUAAGAAUCCUGUUCCCCACUGCCUUGGCUCAGAGGCACAAAGGAACAACCUCCUAUACACACACACACACACACACACACACACACACACACACACACACACACACUACAUGUCAAGGCUGAAGAUCCUCUAUCCCCAAAUUGCUUGUGCAUUCAAGUUCAAUCUCAAUACAUACCAGUUGACCACACAAUGUAGACUCAGCAUCAGCUCAGCUCUUACUGACUCUGCAUCACACGCACAUCGAUGGCAUACAG